RNAcentral lists this transfer RNA (74 nucleotides) under Alloalcanivorax marinus. It matches the Rfam family "tRNA". Rfam says of the family: Transfer RNA (tRNA) molecules are approximately 80 nucleotides in length. Lineage: Bacteria; Pseudomonadati; Pseudomonadota; Gammaproteobacteria; Oceanospirillales; Alcanivoracaceae. The record is from Rfam by way of RNAcentral. RNAcentral also lists the same sequence under 1 other name.
GCACCGGUAGCUCAGUUGGAUAGAGCAUCUGGCUACGAACCAGGAGGUCGGGGGUUCGAAUCCUCCCCGGUGCG